Molecule: long non-coding RNA, 607 nt
Filed under: Heterocephalus glaber (naked mole-rat)
Lineage: Eukaryota; Metazoa; Chordata; Mammalia; Rodentia; Bathyergidae
Description: lncRNA (ENSHGLG00000041841.1)
Source: RNAcentral
CAAGAAACAGAGAGAGAAGGAAGGGAACAGAGACAAGAACAUACCCUUCUAGAUCACACCCCUGUGAUUGACCUCCAAACCCGGCCCCAGUCCCUGCAGCACAUUCCACCAGGAAUUCAGCAGUGGAUUAAUACAUGGAUGAGUACAGUGCCCCACAAUCCAAGCACCUUCCAAAAGCCCCUCCCUUGAAUGUUACAGUGUUUUCCGGGGCAUUUGGGAUCUCAUCCAAUAACAUGAGAGACACAGUUUGAACUACCUGCUGCCUCCCACUUUGCCCUUUAUUCUGUCCCUGUUCUCUACAAGUGAAAGUUUGGGCAUGCACGCUAUGAUAGCACAACAAGAAUUACCAAUGCCUACCAGGAGGAGUUACGAAUUCCUCAUUUCCAUCUGGCAGGGAAAAGCUAAGGGCAAAGAAGUUCUUAUCAGAAGAAAGACUUUAAUCAAUUAUGGGAGAAAGAGAGAUGGAAAGAAAGAUCUUGCCUUUAACGAGCAGUUUCCUUUUUGAGUCAAUUUCAUUGAGCUACCCGUUGAUGCUCCCUCUCCACAAGAAUUUGUUCACAGUGACUAAGGGCACACAACUGCUGUGGGCAUCAGGGCUCGAGUUCUC